This 506-nucleotide ribosomal RNA is filed under the name uncultured bacterium. RNAcentral's name for it is "partial 16S ribosomal RNA". It matches the Rfam family "Bacterial small subunit ribosomal RNA", at positions 30 to 523 of the family's 1533-position model. The record is from RNAcentral.
AUUGAACGCUGGCGGCAGGCUUAACACAUGCAAGUCGAGCGGUAACAGAGAGAAGCUUGCUUCUCUGCUGACGAGCGGCGGACGGGUGAGUAAUGCCUAGGAAUCUGCCUAGUAGUGGGGGAUAACUUGCCGAAAGGUAAGCUAAUACCGCAUACGUCCUACGGGAGAAAGGAGGGGACCUUCGGGCCUUUCGCUAUUAGAUGAGCCUAGGUCGGAUUAGUUAGUUGGUGAGGUAAUGGCUCACCAAGACCGCGAUCCGUAACUGGUCUGAGAGGAUGAUCAGUCACACUGGAACUGAGACACGGUCCAGACUCCUACGGGAGGCAGCAGUGGGGAAUAUUGGACAAUGGGGGGAACCCUGAUCCAGCCAUGCCGCGUGUGUGAAGAAGGUCUUAGGAUUGUAAAGCACUUUAAGUUGGGAGGAAGAGCAGUUAACUAAUAUUUGACUGUUUUGACGUUACCGACAGAAUAAGCACCGGCUAACUUCGUGUCAGCAGCCGCCGUAA